This is an RNA transcript of Mustela lutreola (European mink), 1228 nucleotides long. It is a transcript of the gene named zona pellucida binding protein, with no coding region annotated. The record is from RefSeq and is a predicted model, not a curated record. Lineage: Eukaryota; Metazoa; Chordata; Mammalia; Carnivora; Mustelidae. The transcript is spliced from 9 exons.
AGGUGGGCGCGCGCCGCCUAACGACCUUCUGCGCCGACGGUCGGCAGGCGGCGGCGAGCGAAUGGAGGCUUCGGCCCCCGGCCGGCGGCGGCGGCGGGGCUGGCGGCGGGCUCCGGUCGCGGGCUCCCCGCUCUUCCGGGCCGCGGUCGUCCUCCUGCUCUCCGCCUUCGUGGCGCGGGCGUCCCCGUCAGUUGGAUAUUUGAUUCGAUUACCGAGAGGUUUUCACUUGACCCAAGACGCGGUGAAAAUAGUGGGAUCAUCAAAUUUUCCAGUGAAAGUAUAUGUUAUGCUUCAUCAAAAGAGUCCACACGUGUUAUGUGUAACGCCACGACUGCGAAAUUCGGAAAUGAUAGAUCCAUCAUUCCAAUGGCAUGGACCAAGAGGAAAAAUUAUUUCAGAGAACAGCACUGCACAAGUGACAUCCACAGGAAGCCUCAUAUUCCAGAACUUUGAGGAGAGCAUGAGUGGAGUGUAUACAUGUUUCCUGGAGUAUAAACCUACUGUGGAAGAAAUUGUUAAAAAUCUUCAACUUAAAUAUGUUAUAUAUGCUUAUCGUGAGCCUCAUUAUUAUUACCAGUUCACAGCUCGAUAUCAUGCAGCUCCUUGCAAUAGUAUCUAUAAUAUUUCUUUUGAGAAGAAACUUCUUCAGAUUUUGAGCAAAUUGGUUCUUGACCUUUCAUGUGAAGUUUCUUUACUGAAGUCGGAAUGCCAUCGUGUUAAAAUGCAAAGAGCUGGUUUGCAAAAUGAAUUGUUCUUUACAUUUUCAGUUUCAUCUCUAGACACUGAAAAAGGACCUAAGCCAUGUGCAGACCAUAAUUGUGAAUCUUCCAAAAGACUGUCUAAGGCUAAAAAUCUUAUAGAGAGAUUUUUUAAUCAACAAGUAGAAGUUCUAGGCAGACGUGCAGAGCCAUUGCCUGAAAUAUACUAUAUUGAAGGUACUCUCCAAAUGGUUUGGAUUAAUCGCUGCUUUCCAGGGUAUGGAAUGAAUACCCUGAAACAUCCAAAAUGUCCUGAAUGCUGUGUUUUAGGCCAUUACAAAUAAAGCUGCUAUGAACAUUCCUGUACAAGUCUUUGUGUGGACAUAUGUUUUCAGUUCUCCUGGGAAAAUACCUAUGACUGCGAUUGCUGGGUCAUACGUGAUCUGCAGUCCUGGGUCUUAUAACCCCCGCGAUGGAACCCACUGCCUUCAGUGCAACAGCAGCCUGGCGUUUGGAGCAAAAGCAUGCUU